CAGCAGCCGCGGUAAUACGUAGGUGGCAAGCGUUAUCCGGAAUUAUUGGGCGUAAAGCGCGCGUAGGCGGUUUUUAAGUCUGAUGUGAAAGCCCACGGCUCAACCGUGGAGGGUCAUUGGAAACUGGAAAACUUGAGUGCAGAAGAGGAAAGUGGAAUUCCAUGUGUAGCGGUGAAAUGCGCAGAGAUAUGGAGGAACACCAGUGGCGAAGGCGACUUUCUGGUCUGUAACUGACGCUGAUGUGCGAAAGCGUGGGGAUCAAACAGGAUUAGAUACCCGUGUAGUCCCUGUCUCUUAUACA
RNAcentral lists this ribosomal RNA (301 nucleotides) under uncultured bacterium. RNAcentral describes it as "partial 16S ribosomal RNA". It matches the Rfam family "Bacterial small subunit ribosomal RNA", at positions 509 to 808 of the family's 1533-position model. The record is from RNAcentral.